This 1541-nucleotide ribosomal RNA is filed under the name Escherichia coli. RNAcentral's name for it is "bacterial SSU rRNA". It matches the Rfam family "Bacterial small subunit ribosomal RNA". Lineage: Bacteria; Pseudomonadati; Pseudomonadota; Gammaproteobacteria; Enterobacterales; Enterobacteriaceae. The record is from RNAcentral.
AAAUUGAAGAGUUUGAUCAUGGCUCAGAUUGAACGCUGGCGGCAGGCCUAACACAUGCAAGUCGAACGGUAACAGGAAGCAGCUUGCUGCUUCGCUGACGAGUGGCGGACGGGUGAGUAAUGUCUGGGAAACUGCCUGAUGGAGGGGGAUAACUACUGGAAACGGUAGCUAAUACCGCAUAAUGUCGCAAGACCAAAGAGGGGGACCUUCGGGCCUCUUGCCAUCGGAUGUGCCCAGAUGGGAUUAGCUUGUUGGUGGGGUAACGGCUCACCAAGGCGACGAUCCCUAGCUGGUCUGAGAGGAUGACCAGCCACACUGGAACUGAGACACGGUCCAGACUCCUACGGGAGGCAGCAGUGGGGAAUAUUGCACAAUGGGCGCAAGCCUGAUGCAGCCAUGCCGCGUGUAUGAAGAAGGCCUUCGGGUUGUAAAGUACUUUCAGCGGGGAGGAAGGGAGUAAAGUUAAUACCUUUGCUCAUUGACGUUACCCGCAGAAGAAGCACCGGCUAACUCCGUGCCAGCAGCCGCGGUAAUACGGAGGGUGCAAGCGUUAAUCGGAAUUACUGGGCGUAAAGCGCACGCAGGCGGUUUGUUAAGUCAGAUGUGAAAUCCCCGGGCUCAACCUGGGAACUGCAUCUGAUACUGGCAAGCUUGAGUCUCGUAGAGGGGGUAGAAUUCCAGGUGUAGCGGUGAAAUGCGUAGAGAUCUGGAGGAAUACCGGUGGCGAAGGCGGCCCCCUGGACGAAGACUGACGCUCAGGUGCGAAAGCGUGGGGAGCAAACAGGAUUAGAUACCCUGGUAGUCCACGCCGUAAACGAUGUCGACUUGGAGGUUGUGCCCUUGAGGCGUGGCUUCCGGAGCUAACGCGUUAAGUCGACCGCCUGGGGAGUACGGCCGCAAGGUUAAAACUCAAAUGAAUUGACGGGGGCCCGCACAAGCGGUGGAGCAUGUGGUUUAAUUCGAUGCAACGCGAAGAACCUUACCUGGUCUUGACAUCCACGGAAGUUUUCAGAGAUGAGAAUGUGCCUUCGGGAACCGUGAGACAGGUGCUGCAUGGCUGUCGUCAGCUCGUGUUGUGAAAUGUUGGGUUAAGUCCCGCAACGAGCGCAACCCUUAUCCUUUGUUGCCAGCGGUCCGGCCGGGAACUCAAAGGAGACUGCCAGUGAUAAACUGGAGGAAGGUGGGGAUGACGUCAAGUCAUCAUGGCCCUUACGACCAGGGCUACACACGUGCUACAAUGGCGCAUACAAAGAGAAGCGACCUCGCGAGAGCAAGCGGACCUCAUAAAGUGCGUCGUAGUCCGGAUUGGAGUCUGCAACUCGACUCCAUGAAGUCGGAAUCGCUAGUAAUCGUGGAUCAGAAUGCCACGGUGAAUACGUUCCCGGGCCUUGUACACACCGCCCGUCACACCAUGGGAGUGGGUUGCAAAAGAAGUAGGUAGCUUAACCUUCGGGAGGGCGCUUACCACUUUGUGAUUCAUGACUGGGGUGAAGUCGUAACAAGGUAACCGUAGGGGAACCUGCGGUUGGAUCACCUCCUUA